UCGAGGAUCUUUUGCAAUGCCCGACAGGGUGACAAUGCGACGCCGCGUGAGCGAUGAAGGCCUUCGGGUUGUAAAGCUCUGUCAGCUGGGAUGAAAGGCAAAACAAUUAAUAUCGUUUUGAUUGACGGUACCAGCAAAGGAAGCCACGGCUAACUCCGUGCCAGCAGCCGCGGUAAUACGGAGGUGGCAAGCGUUGUUCGGAUUUACUGGGUGUAAAGGACAUGUAGGUGUCUUUUUAAGUCGGGUGUGAAAUCCCUUAGCUCAACUAAGGAACUGCAUUCGAUACUGAUAAGAUUGAGUACUGGAGAGGUAAGCGGAAUUCCGGAAGUAAGGGUGAAAUCUGUAGAUAUCCGGAGGAACACCAUUAGCGAAGGCGGCUUACUGGUCAGAUACUGACACUGAAAUGUGAAAGCUAGGGGAGCAAACAGG
Molecule: ribosomal RNA, 429 nt
Filed under: uncultured bacterium
Lineage: Bacteria
Description: bacterial SSU rRNA
Rfam family: Bacterial small subunit ribosomal RNA
Source: RNAcentral